This 435-nucleotide ribosomal RNA is filed under the name Mantidae sp. 2 MD-2011. RNAcentral's name for it is "partial 16S ribosomal RNA". The stretch from base 1 to 188 matches the Rfam family "Archaeal large subunit ribosomal RNA", at positions 1908 to 2143 of the family's 2987-position model. Lineage: Eukaryota; Metazoa; Arthropoda; Insecta; Mantodea; Mantidae. The record is from RNAcentral.
GGUUUCUUGUAUAUAUAAGAAAUUUAACCUGCCCACUGAAAAAUUUUGAAGGGCCGCAGUAUUUUGACUGUGCAAAGGUAGCAUAAUCAUUAGUCUUUUAAUUGGAGGCUGGCAUGAAUGGUUGGACGAGGUAAAUACUGUUUUAUAGUAAUUUUAGUUGAAUUUAGGUUUUAAGUAAAAAAACUUAAGUGUUAUUAAGGGACGAGAAGACCCUAUAGAGUUUAAUAUAUGAAGUAAUUAAUUUAGUUAAAAAUGAAUUUUUAAUUAUUAUGAAAUUUAUUUAAUUGGGGUGAUUGGAAAAUAAAUUUAACUUUUCUUUAAAAUUAAUUUUAUAAUUAGAGUAAAGAUCCAUAUAUAGUGAUUAGAAGAUUAAAUUACCUUAGGGAUAACAGCAUAAUUUUUUUUGAGAGUUCAUAUCGAAAGAAGAGAUUGUGA